CGAGGCCGAUAGGCGUAGGCGAUGGACAACAGGUAGAGAUUCCUGUACCAGUGCUAAUUGUUUAACCGAUGGGGUGACACAGAAGGAUAGGGAAUCGCACGAAUGGAAAUGUGCGUCCAAGCAGUGAGUGUGAGAAGUAGGCAAAUCCGCUUCUCGCGAAGCAUGAGCUGUGAUGGGGAAGGAAAUUAAGUACGGAAGUUCCUGAUUUCACGCUGUCAAGAAAAGCCUCUAGGAAGAGUAGUACUGCCCGUACCGCAAACCGACACAGGUAGAUGAGGAGAGAAUCCUAAGGUGAGCGAGAGAACUCUCGUUAAGGAACUCGGCAAAAUGACCCCGUAACUUCGGGAGAAGGGGUGCUCUAUUAGGGUGCAAGCCCGAGAGAGCCGCAGUGAAUAGGCCCAGGCGACUGUUUAGCAAAAACACAGGUCUCUGCAAAACCGUAAGGUGACGUAUAGGGGCUGACGCCUGCCCGGUGCUGGAAGGUUAAGAGGAGUGCUUAGCUUCGG
RNAcentral lists this ribosomal RNA (506 nucleotides) under Listeria monocytogenes. RNAcentral describes it as "partial 23S ribosomal RNA". It matches the Rfam family "Bacterial large subunit ribosomal RNA", at positions 1397 to 1899 of the family's 2925-position model. Lineage: Bacteria; Bacillati; Bacillota; Bacilli; Caryophanales; Listeriaceae. The record is from RNAcentral.